AAAAUGGAAAUGAACUAGAAAAUGAUUUAAACGCGCAAUGGGCCCAAAGUUGGGGGUGGGGAAAGCAAGUGUGCAUGCCCAUGAUCCAUUUUCAUUUAAACAAAACUGAUUUAAAUAAAACAUGAUAACUUAAAAUGAAACAAAAAUCAUGUGACACGGUAUCAACCGGUCACACUCACUUAAGUAAAAAACGACAAAACACACGCCCAACCAAU
This 215-nucleotide long non-coding RNA is filed under the name Lathyrus oleraceus (garden pea). RNAcentral's name for it is "Pisum sativum (pea) long non-coding RNA (PSAT_LNC015032)". The record is from RNAcentral. Lineage: Eukaryota; Viridiplantae; Streptophyta; Magnoliopsida; Fabales; Fabaceae.